GCACUCGUAGUAUAGUGGUUAGUAUGUGAGCCUUCCAAGCUUAGGACUCGGGUUCGAAUCCCGACGAGUGCA
This 72-nucleotide transfer RNA is filed under the name archaeon. Its description in RNAcentral is "tRNA-Gly". It matches the Rfam family "tRNA". Rfam says of the family: Transfer RNA (tRNA) molecules are approximately 80 nucleotides in length. Their secondary structure includes four short double-helical elements and three loops (D, anti-codon, and T loops). Further hydrogen bonds mediate the characteristic L-shaped molecular structure. tRNAs have two regions of fundamental functional importance: the anti-codon, which is responsible for specific mRNA codon recognition, and the 3' end, to which the tRNAs corresponding amino acid is attached (by aminoacyl-tRNA synthetases). tRNAs cope with the degeneracy of the genetic code in two manners: having more than one tRNA (with a specific anti-codon) for a particular amino acid; and 'wobble' base-pairing, i.e. permitting non-standard base-pairing at the 3rd anti-codon position. The record is from RNAcentral. RNAcentral also lists the same sequence under 1 other name.